Molecule: transfer RNA, 77 nt
Filed under: Propionivibrio sp.
Lineage: Bacteria; Pseudomonadati; Pseudomonadota; Betaproteobacteria; Rhodocyclales; Rhodocyclaceae
Description: tRNA-Val
Rfam family: tRNA
About the family: Transfer RNA (tRNA) molecules are approximately 80 nucleotides in length.
Source: RNAcentral
AGGCGCGUAGCUCAGUUGGUUAGAGCGCCACGUUGACAUCGUGGAGGUCGUUGGUUCGAUUCCAAUCGCGCCUACCA